CAUCUCAAAUCUAAAAAAACUCGGAGUCAAAUGGCAAUAAUGAGUUCGAGAGAAGAAGAUAUGUCGUUGGACGUGCUGCCAGAAGCAUGCAUAGCCAACGUUCUGUCCUUUACUUGUCCGAGGGAUGCUUGUAGACUGUCUAUGGUGUGUUCCUUGUUUAAGGCGGCAGAAGAAUCUGAUUUUGUCUGGGAAAGGUUUCUGCCCCGUGAUUAUCAAUCUAUCAUCUCCAAAUCUGAUGCUUCUUCUAUGCUGCUGGCUUCUGCUUCUUCUAAGAAACAUCUCUAUCUCAUGCUUUGUGAGAAGCCCUUGAUUAUCGAGGGUGGCAAAAAGAGCAUUUCAUUGGAAAAAAAGAGUGGGAAGAAAUGCUACAUGCUUUCUGCAAGAGAUCUGAUAAUUGUAUGGGGUGAUACUCCUACUUACUGGAAAUGGAAUUCUGAUCCUUCCUCCAGAUUUGGAGAAGUGGCAGAGCUGAUUAGUGUAUGUUGGCUUGAAAUCCGUGGAAAAAUCAAUGCUACUAUGCUGUCUCCAGCAACGUUAUACACAGCCUACCUUGUGUUCAGGCCAACAAGAGGACUUUAUGGAUUAGAUUACCAGCCAGUGGAGGUGGGGGUGGGACUUGUUGGUAGUGAAUGUGGUAUGAGAAAUGUGUAUUUGGAUUCAGAGAGAGGGCGGCGGCAGCAAUACCAUUUUGUCAGUAGGCGCAUCGGCUUGUUCAACCGUUGCCGAAUUGUGGGGAUGCCAGCAUCUGAACCUGCCAGAGAAAAUAAUGGACAAUAUCCAAAGAAAAGGGAAGAUGGAUGGCUGGAGAUUGAGUUGGGGGAGUUCUUUUGCAAGGAAGGGGAAGAUAGAGAACUGGAAAUGAGUGUUCAAGAGGUUAAGGGUGGUGAUUGGAAAGGUGGGCUGAUUGUUGAGGGGAUUGAGAUUAGGCCAAAAGAGGGUAAAUAAAUAAAGACACUUGAAGAGGUUGAAUAUGAUGAGUUGCAGCGAUGCUCAAGUUCAAGCUCAGGUGGUCAUACCAUCAUCGGAUUGCCAUGAAUCCCAGUGAUUUGAUUGGAUUGAGACUUGGUCUUAAUCUCAGGUUGCAAUCAAGCUUGCAUGGGGCAGGAUGUUCACCCCUUAAAUCACAGUUUUGAGCAUGCAUAAACUCCAGCUAAGCACAGACUUGCUGAUACCAAGAGAAAGGUCUUCCAUUGCCUUCCAGAUGCUAGAAUGGCCAAUGCAGUCAAUGCAACAGAAAUUGCAGAGAGGGCAUUUUUCCAAGCUUGGAAAUUUUUUAC
Populus trichocarpa (black cottonwood) is the source of this 1277-nucleotide RNA transcript. It is a transcript of the gene named putative F-box protein PP2-B12, with no coding region annotated. The record is from RefSeq and is a predicted model, not a curated record. Lineage: Eukaryota; Viridiplantae; Streptophyta; Magnoliopsida; Malpighiales; Salicaceae. The transcript has 6 exons.